Molecule: transfer RNA, 71 nt
Organism: Alligator mississippiensis (American alligator)
Lineage: Eukaryota; Metazoa; Chordata; Crocodylia; Alligatoridae
Rfam family: tRNA
About the family: Transfer RNA (tRNA) molecules are approximately 80 nucleotides in length. Their secondary structure includes four short double-helical elements and three loops (D, anti-codon, and T loops).
Source: Rfam
GCAUUGGUAGUUCAACAGUACAAUUCCUGCCUCCCAUGCACAAGACUUGGGCUCAAUUCCCAGCGAAUGCA